RNAcentral lists this unclassified non-coding RNA (347 nucleotides) under uncultured fungus. RNAcentral's name for it is "sequence contains ITS1". The stretch from base 1 to 103 matches the Rfam family "5.8S ribosomal RNA", at positions 50 to 154 of the family's 154-position model. Lineage: Eukaryota; Fungi. The record is from RNAcentral.
GAAGUGCGAUAAGCAAUGCGAAUUGCAGAACCGUGAGUCAUCAGAUUUUUGAACGCAACUGGCGCCGGCUGGCUCCCCAGACGGCAUGCUUGUUUCAGUGUCUCUUUUCUCCCUCACCCAAAUCAUAAUGCAAGGGAUAACCUUCUCUUGUUAAGCAUGAAAGCACUAUGCGCUCUGCGAGCUACAGUCUUCGGAUGGUAGCGCUCAAUGCAGCGGUCACAUUGCUCACAAUGUGAACUCAUUGAGAGUAGAGGCAGUCAGUGACGGCGAGAGCUGUUGCUGGAGAGCUUAGAAUACCAAACUUCUAUUGUUAUCUGAAAUCAAGCAGGAGGACCCGCUGAACUUAA